CGUGUCAUCAUCCAUCAUAUAGUAAUGGCAAUAUAUCGGGUUAUUCAAUACUCUGUGUUCUUUGCAUAGAAAUAGUUCUUCGUUAAUCUGAGCAUUGAAAGAAUACUUCAUAUCACAAACUAUAAAUAUGGAUACAAAAAACAAUGAAAUCUAAGCGAUAUUGAUAACACCGCAAAUAGAUAUAAGAAGAUGUGGUGUGAGUGCCA
This 206-nucleotide long non-coding RNA is filed under the name Mytilus galloprovincialis (Mediterranean mussel). Lineage: Eukaryota; Metazoa; Mollusca; Bivalvia; Mytilida; Mytilidae. The record is from RNAcentral.